RNAcentral lists this unclassified non-coding RNA (372 nucleotides) under uncultured Fomitopsidaceae. Its description in RNAcentral is "sequence contains ITS1". The stretch from base 1 to 105 matches the Rfam family "5.8S ribosomal RNA", at positions 50 to 154 of the family's 154-position model. The record is from RNAcentral. Lineage: Eukaryota; Fungi; Basidiomycota; Agaricomycetes; Polyporales; Fomitopsidaceae.
GAAAUGCGAUAAGUAAUGUGAAUUGCAGAAUUCAGUGAAUCAUCGAAUCUUUGAACGCACCUUGCGCUCCUUGGUAUUCCGAGGAGCAUGCCUGUUUGAGUGUCAUGGAAUCAUCAACCGUUCAUCCUUUGUUGGAUGUGGCGGCUUGGACUUGGAGGCUUAUGCUGGUUUCUUAACGGGAUCGGCUCCUCUUGAAUGCAUUAGCUUGAACCUAUGCUGUAUCGGCUGUUCGGUGUGAUAAUUGUCUACGCCGUGGCUGUGAGGCCCGUUGAAAGACGGUGGUAGGAUCAGCUUCUAACCGUCCCUGCGAACGGGACAACAUCUUAAUUGACCUCUGACCUCAAAUCAGGUAGGAUUACCCGCUGAACUUAA